Molecule: ribosomal RNA, 199 nt
Filed under: Salmonella enterica subsp. enterica serovar Kentucky
Lineage: Bacteria; Pseudomonadati; Pseudomonadota; Gammaproteobacteria; Enterobacterales; Enterobacteriaceae
Description: partial 16S ribosomal RNA
Rfam family: Bacterial small subunit ribosomal RNA (bases 30-199)
Source: RNAcentral
GACAUUGAGCGCCAGCUUUCGACACGAAAACCGGCAGGGAAUUACAACGCCGAUACGCCGCAUACGAAUGAUGCGCAAGCCUGAUGCAGCCAUGCCGCGUGUAUGAAGAAGGCCUUCGGGUUGUAAAGUACUUUCAGCGGGGAGGAAGGUGUUGUGGUUAAUAACCGCAGCAAUUGACGUUACCCGCAGAAGAAGCACC